Ictidomys tridecemlineatus (thirteen-lined ground squirrel) is the source of this 69-nucleotide non-coding RNA. Lineage: Eukaryota; Metazoa; Chordata; Mammalia; Rodentia; Sciuridae. The record is from Rfam.
GGGGAUGUGGCUCAAGUGGUAGAGCGCUCGCCUGACAUGCAUGUGGCCUGGGUUCGAUCCUCAGCACCA